GGGCCCUUAGCUCAGCCGGUAGAGCAACUGACUCUUAAUCAGUAGGUUGUCGGUUCGAUCCCGACAGGGCUCACCA
RNAcentral lists this transfer RNA (76 nucleotides) under Deltaproteobacteria bacterium HGW-Deltaproteobacteria-11. Its description in RNAcentral is "tRNA-Lys". It matches the Rfam family "tRNA". Rfam says of the family: Transfer RNA (tRNA) molecules are approximately 80 nucleotides in length. Their secondary structure includes four short double-helical elements and three loops (D, anti-codon, and T loops). Lineage: Bacteria; Deltaproteobacteria. The record is from RNAcentral. RNAcentral also lists the same sequence under 3 other names.